GAUGAACGCUAGCGGCAGGCUUAACACAUGCAAGUCGAGGGGCAGCACUUGUAGCAAUACAUGGUGGCGACCGGCGCAAGGGUGCGUAACGCGUGAGCAACAUGCCCGUAUCAGGGGGAUAAUCCAGGGAAACUUGGUCUAAUACCCCAUAGCAAUUAUUUGAGGCAUCUUAAAUAAUUUAAAGCUUUGGUGGAUACGGAUUGGCUCGCGUGACAUUAGCUAGAUGGUAAGGUAACGGCUUACCAUGGCUACGAUGUCUAGGGGUUCUGAGAGGAAGAUCCCCCACACUGGAACUGAGACACGGUCCAGACUCCUACGGGAGGCAGCAGUGAGGAAUAUUGGACAAUGGAUGGAAAUCUGAUCCAGCCAUGCCGCGUGCAGGAAGACGGCCCUAUGGGUUGUAAACUGCUUUUGUGUGGGAGCAAUAAGGUCUAUGCGUAGACUGAUGAGAGUACCAUACGAAUAAGCAUCGGCUAACU
This 479-nucleotide ribosomal RNA is filed under the name uncultured bacterium. Its description in RNAcentral is "bacterial SSU rRNA". It matches the Rfam family "Bacterial small subunit ribosomal RNA", at positions 28 to 502 of the family's 1533-position model. The record is from RNAcentral.